AGAGUUUGAUCCUGGCUCAGGAUGAACGCUAGCUACAGGCUUAACACAUGCAAGUCGCGGGGCAGCAUGAAGUCAGCUUGCUGACUUUGAUGGCGACCGGCGCACGGGUGAGUAACGCGUAUCCAACCUGCCUGUUACCACGGCACAGCCCGUCGAAAGGCGGAUUAAUGCCGUAUGUGGUCCUUUGCGGGCAUCUAAUUAGGACUAAAGGUUCGGCGGUAACGGAUGGGGAUGCGUCCGAUUAGCUAGACGGCGGGGUAACGGCCCACCGUGGCUACGAUCGGUAGGGGUUCUGAGAGGAAGGUCCCCCACACUGGAACUGAGACACGGUCCAGACUCCUACGGGAGGCAGCAGUGAGGAAUAUUGGUCAAUGGGCGUAAGCCUGAACCAGCCAAGUAGCGUGAGGGAAGACUGCCCUAUGGGUUGUAAACCUCUUUUGUGCGGGGAUAAAGUGUGGGACGUGUCCCAUAUUGCAGGUACCGCACGAAUAAGGACCGGCUAAUUCCGUGCCAGCAGCCGCGGUAAUACGGAAGGUCCGGGCGUUAUCCGGAUUUAUUGGGUUUAAAGGGAGCGCAGGCCGUCCUUUAAGCGUGCUGUGAAAUGCCGCGGCUCAACCGUGGCACUGCAGCGCGAACUGGAGGACUUGAGUACGCACGAGGUAGGCGGAAUUCGUGGUGUAGCGGUGAAAUGCUUAGAUAUCACGAAGAACUCCGAUUGCGAAGGCAGCUUACCGGAGCGCAACUGACGCUGAGGCUCGAAAGCGCGGGUAUCGAACAGGAUUAGAUACCCUGGUAGUCCGCGCGGUAAACGAUGGAUGCCCGCCGUUGGGAUUUGGAUUUCAGCGGCCAAGCGAAAGCGUUAAGCAUCCCACCUGGGGAGUACGCCGGCAACGGUG
This 896-nucleotide ribosomal RNA is filed under the name human gut metagenome. Its description in RNAcentral is "bacterial SSU rRNA". It matches the Rfam family "Bacterial small subunit ribosomal RNA", at positions 8 to 896 of the family's 1533-position model. The record is from RNAcentral.